AACGAACGCUGGCGGCAGGCCUAACACAUGCAAGUCGAACGCACCUUUCGGGGUUAGUGGGGGACGGGUGAGAAACACGUGGGAACGUGCCUUUAGGUUCGGAAUCACUCAGGAAAACUUGUGCUAAUACCGAAUGUGCCCAUCGGGGGAAAGAUUUCUCGCCUUUAGAGCGGCCCGCGUCUGUUUAGCUAGUUGGUUGAGGUAAUGGCUCACCAAGGCGACGAUCAGUAGCUGGUCUGAGAGGAUGAUCAGCCACAUUGGGACUGAGACACGGCCCAAACUCCUACGGGAGGCAGCAGUGGGGAAUCUUGCGCAAUGGGCGAAAGCCUGACGCAGCCAUGCCGCGUGAAUGAUGAAGGUCUUAGGAUUGUAAAAUUCUUUCACCGGGGACGAUAAUGACGGUACCCGGAGAAGAAGCCCCGGCUAACUUCGUG
RNAcentral lists this ribosomal RNA (434 nucleotides) under uncultured bacterium. Its description in RNAcentral is "partial 16S ribosomal RNA". It matches the Rfam family "Bacterial small subunit ribosomal RNA", at positions 29 to 507 of the family's 1533-position model. The record is from RNAcentral.